Molecule: ribosomal RNA, 794 nt
Filed under: Methanosaeta sp. enrichment culture clone HA_13
Lineage: Archaea; Methanobacteriati; Methanobacteriota; Methanomicrobia; Methanotrichales; Methanotrichaceae
Also listed under: 3 other names
Description: bacterial SSU rRNA
Rfam family: Archaeal small subunit ribosomal RNA
Source: RNAcentral
ACUGCUCAGUAACACGUGGACAACCUACCCUUGGGUCUGGCAUAAUCCUGGGAAACUGGGUAUAAUUCCAGAUAGGUCACAGAUGCUGGAAUGCACUGUGGCCGAAAGCUCCGGCGCCCAAGGAUGGGUCUGCGGCCUAUCAGGGUUGUAGUGGGUGUAACGGACCUACUAGCCUACAACGGGUACGGGUUGUGAGAGCAAGAGCCCGGAGAUGGAUUCUGAGACACGAAUCCAGGCCCUACGGGGUGCAGCAGGCGCGAAAACUUUACAAUGCGGGAAACCGUGAUAAGGGAAUCUCGAGUGCCAGCAUAUAAUGUUGGCUGUCCAGAUGCCUAAAAAGCAUCUGUUAGCAAGGGCCGGGCAAGACCGGUGCCAGCCGCCGCGGUAACACCGGCGGCCCGAGUGGUAACCGCUUUUAUUGGGUCUAAAGGGUCUGUAGCCGGCCAAGUAAGUCCCUUGGGAAAUCUGGCAGCUUAACUGUCAGGCUGCUAGGGGAUACUGCUAGGCUUGGGACCGGGAGAGGUGAGAGGUACCUUGGGGGUAGGGGUGAAAUCUUGUGAUCCUCGGGGGACCACCAGUGGCGAAGGCGUCUCACCAGAACGGGUCCGACGGUAAGGGACGAAAGCUAGGGGCACGAACCGGAUUAGAUACCCGGGUAGUCCUAGCCGUAAACGAUGCUCGCUAGGUGUCAGUCACGGUGCGACCGUGAUUGGUGCCGUAGGGAAGCCGUGAAGCGAGCCACCUGGGAAGUAUGGCCGCAAGGCUGAAACUUAAAGGAAUUGGCGGGGGAGCAC